CCUACGGGUGGCAGCAGUAGGGAAUAUUGCUCAAUGGGGGAAACCCUGAUGCAGCAACGCCGCGUGGAGGAUGAAGGUUUUCGGAUUGUAAACUCCUUUUGUUAGAGAAGAUAAUGACGGUAUUUAACCAAUAACCCCCGGCUAACUCCGUCCCAGCAGCCGCGGUAAUACGGCGGGUGCAAGCGUUACUCGGAAUCACUGGGCGUAACGAGCGCGUAGGCGGGUUAGCAAGUCAGAUGUGAAAUCCUAUGGCUUAACCAUAGAACUGCAUUUGAAACUGGUAUUCUAGAGUAUGGGAGAGGUAGGUGGAAUUCUUGGUGUAGGGGUAAAAUCCGUAGAGAUCAAGAGGAAUACCCAUUGCGAAGGCGACCUGCUAGAACAUAACUGACGCUGAUGCGCGAAAGCGUGGGGAGCAAACAGGAUUAGAUACCCGGGUAGUC
This 440-nucleotide ribosomal RNA is filed under the name uncultured bacterium. RNAcentral describes it as "partial 16S ribosomal RNA". It matches the Rfam family "Bacterial small subunit ribosomal RNA", at positions 338 to 795 of the family's 1533-position model. The record is from RNAcentral.